CCCUUAGAUGUCCUGGGCCGCACGCGCGCUACACUGACAUGUUCAACAAGCCUCCUAGUUCGACAGGAUUUGGGAAAUCUUUGAACGCAUGUCGUGAUAGGGAUAGAUCAUUGCAAUUAUUAAUCUUGAACGAGGAAUUCCUAGUAAACGCAGAUCAUCAAUCUGCAUUGAUUACGUCCCUGCCCUUUGUACACACCGCCCGUCGCACCUACCGAUUGGAUGGUCCGGUGAAGCCUCGGGAUUGUGGUUCUUGCCGCUUUAUUGUGGCGUGACCGCGAGAACUUGUCUAAACCUUAUCAUCUAGAGGAAGGUGAAGUCGUAACA
RNAcentral lists this ribosomal RNA (324 nucleotides) under uncultured eukaryote. Its description in RNAcentral is "partial 18S ribosomal RNA". It matches the Rfam family "Eukaryotic small subunit ribosomal RNA", at positions 1470 to 1796 of the family's 1831-position model. The record is from RNAcentral.